ACGGGGGUCUGGUGUGAAGAGCCCUUCGUCCUGGGAGCCGGGAUGUGGCUGGCCGGAAAGGGGGCUGCUCUCUCGCCCAUCACGGAACGCACGUUCCUGGGUAAACCUGGUGCUAAACCAUUUGUAGACGACCUGCUUCUGGGUCGGGGUUUCGUAUGUAGCAGAGCAGCUCCCUUGCUGCGAUCUAUUGAGAGUCAGCCCUCGACACAAGGGUUUGU
This 218-nucleotide non-coding RNA is filed under the name Tupaia belangeri chinensis (Chinese tree shrew). RNAcentral describes it as "Tupaia chinensis (Chinese tree shrew) Eukaryotic large subunit ribosomal RNA". It matches the Rfam family "Eukaryotic large subunit ribosomal RNA", at positions 3232 to 3401 of the family's 3401-position model. The record is from Rfam by way of RNAcentral. Lineage: Eukaryota; Metazoa; Chordata; Mammalia; Scandentia; Tupaiidae.